RNAcentral lists this ribosomal RNA (1334 nucleotides) under Chryseobacterium sp. Its description in RNAcentral is "bacterial SSU rRNA". It matches the Rfam family "Bacterial small subunit ribosomal RNA", at positions 87 to 1428 of the family's 1533-position model. Lineage: Bacteria; Pseudomonadati; Bacteroidota; Flavobacteriia; Flavobacteriales; Weeksellaceae. The record is from RNAcentral.
CAGAGAGAGCGGCGUACGGGUGCGGAACACGUGUGCAACCUGCCUUUAUCAGGGGGAUAGCCUUUCGAAAGGAAGAUUAAUACCCCAUAAUAUAAUAGAUGGCAUCAUUUAUUAUUGAAAACUCCGGUGGAUAGAGAUGGGCACGCGCAAGAUUAGAUAGUUGGUGAGGUAACGGCUCACCAAGUCAAUGAUCUUUAGGGGGCCUGAGAGGGUGAUCCCCCACACUGGUACUGAGACACGGACCAGACUCCUACGGGAGGCAGCAGUGAGGAAUAUUGGACAAUGGGUUAGCGCCUGAUCCAGCCAUCCCGCGUGAAGGACGACGGCCCUAUGGGUUGUAAACUUCUUUUGUACAGGGAUAAACCUACCCUCGUGAGGGUAGCUGAAGGUACUGUACGAAUAAGCACCGGCUAACUCCGUGCCAGCAGCCGCGGUAAUACGGAGGGUGCAAGCGUUAUCCGGAUUUAUUGGGUUUAAAGGGUCCGUAGGCGGAUCUGUAAGUCAGUGGUGAAAUCUCACAGCUUAACUGUGAAACUGCCAUUGAUACUGCAGGUCUUGAGUAAGGUAGAAGUAGCUGGAAUAAGUAGUGUAGCGGUGAAAUGCAUAGAUAUUACUUAGAACACCAAUUGCGAAGGCAGGUUACUAUGUCUUAACUGACGCUGAUGGACGAAAGCGUGGGGAGCGAACAGGAUUAGAUACCCUGGUAGUCCACGCCGUAAACGAUGCUAACUCGUUUUUGGGGCUUCGGCUUCAGAGACUAAGCGAAAGUGAUAAGUUAGCCACCUGGGGAGUACGUUCGCAAGAAUGAAACUCAAAGGAAUUGACGGGGGCCCGCACAAGCGGUGGAUUAUGUGGUUUAAUUCGAUGAUACGCGAGGAACCUUACCAAGGCUUAAAUGGGAAUUGACAGUUUCAGAAAUGAGAUUUUCUUCGGACAAUUUUCAAGGUGCUGCAUGGUUGUCGUCAGCUCGUGCCGUGAGGUGUUAGGUUAAGUCCUGCAACGAGCGCAACCCCUGUUACUAGUUGCUACCAUUAAGUUGAGGACUCUAGUAAGACUGCCUACGCAAGUAGAGAGGAAGGUGGGGAUGACGUCAAAUCAUCACGGCCCUUACGCCUUGGGCCACACACGUAAUACAAUGGCCGGUACAGAGGGCAGCUACACAGCGAUGUGAUGCGAAUCUCGAAAGCCGGUCUCAGUUCGGAUUGGAGUCUGCAACUCGACUCUAUGAAGCUGGAAUCGCUAGUAAUCGCGCAUCAGCCAUGGCGCGGUGAAUACGUUCCCGGGCCUUGUACACACCGCCCGUCAAGCCAUGGAAGUCUGGGGUACCUGAAGUC